UCAAACUUGGUCAUUUAGAGGAAGUAAAAGUCGUAACAAGGUCUCCGUAGGUGAACCUGCGGAGGGAUCAUUACUGAGUGAGGGCCUCCGGGCUCGACCUCCAACCCUAUGUUAUUCAACUUUGUUGCCUCGGGGGCGACCCGCGCCUUCAGGCGUCGGGGCCCCCGAUGGACCAUUUCAAAACACUGCAUCUUUGCGUCGGAUGAUAAAAGUUAAAUUGAUUAAAAACUUUCAACAACGGAUCUCUUGGUUCUGGCAUCGAUGAAGAACGCAGC
RNAcentral lists this unclassified non-coding RNA (275 nucleotides) under uncultured fungus. RNAcentral describes it as "partial contains small subunit ribosomal RNA, internal transcribed spacer 1, and 5.8S ribosomal RNA". The stretch from base 1 to 73 matches the Rfam family "Eukaryotic small subunit ribosomal RNA", at positions 1759 to 1831 of the family's 1831-position model. Lineage: Eukaryota; Fungi. The record is from RNAcentral.